RNAcentral lists this unclassified non-coding RNA (490 nucleotides) under Hevea brasiliensis (rubber tree). The record is from RNAcentral. Lineage: Eukaryota; Viridiplantae; Streptophyta; Magnoliopsida; Malpighiales; Euphorbiaceae.
GAAUGUUUCAGGUCCAGUUCAACCUUACACUUCCUACCUUAAGAAUUUCUGGUAUCCUGUUGCCUUCUCUACUGAUCUGAAGGAUGACACAAUGAUUCCGAUUGAUUGUUUUGAGGAACCAUGGGUUGUCUUUCGUGGGAAAGAUGGGAAACCUGGAUGUGUCCAGAACACCUGUGCGCAUAGAGCCUGUCCUCUUCACCUUGGUUCAGUAAAUGAGGGUCGGAUCCAAUGUCCUUACCAUGGAUGGGAAUACUCAACAGAUGGAAAAUGUGAGAAGAUGCCAUCUACACGACUACUAAAUGUGAAGAUAAAGUCAUUGCCAUGUUUUGAGCAAGAAGGGAUGAUAUGGGUUUGGCCUGGCAAUGACCCUCCAGCAGCCACACUUCCUUCAUUACAGCCUCCUCCAGGUUUUGUAGUCCAUGCUGAGAUUGUCAUGGANACUUCCAGUGGAACAUGGUCUUCUUCUGGAUAACCUGUUAGAUCUUGCGCA